AUGGCUGAAGCGCAGUUCUGGAAAGCAUCGCAAGGCACACCCGGACGCACACCUCCCCCGCCCCCAAAAAAAAUAAGAAAUGGGCAAAUACACCAUGCUGCACAACAUCAACAAGGUGUUGUGCGUUAUGCUCGAUGAUGGCCGUACCGUUACUGGCAAGCUGCUCGUCUUUGACAAGCACAUGAACGUCGUUCUUGGCGACGCGGUCGAGGAGCGGCCGCAGUCGAAGAAGAUGGCUGAGGAGGGCGUCUCGCCAAAACGCCAGCUGGGGCUUAUCUUGCUGCGCGGCGAGCACGUUGUGUCCGUCACAGUGAUGAAAGGUAGCGAGAACGGUGGCAGCGGGGCUGUGGCGAAUUUUGGCGGCGCUCCCAAAUCGGCGAAGGCAACCGCCGUGAAGCGCAAGCGCGGCGCGUAACGACGAAAGUCAAACUUGGCACCUAAAAGCUGAGGGGUGAGGUGAGCUGUCUCGUACCGCUAUGUGUGCUCAGAAGCAUCCUAACCUCUCUCUUGUGUGCCCGCCUACAGUCAAACGUUUGCGUUCCCAUGUAUUCACACCCCCGCGCGUGUUGAGUGUACACGCGAAUGAGUUGGUGCUGAUGGUGAUGAUGUCUUUCCGCCCUCCCCAAUCCCCCUUUCUUUCUCUGUCCCGCCUUGUGUGUGUGUGUAUGCGCGUGCGUGUGUGCACCUCACCCCUCGCACGCGCACACAGGGGGCGAGGGGCACAGAGGCGAUGAGGGGGUCGAUGCGCUGUAGGAAAUCAGAAACAGGACGAUUUAGUGCAAAACGACAAGAAGCGAAAAAGGCGAGCGCCAACGAAUAACCGCCGGAUGACCCCUUUCGCUGUGCGUCUGCCCAUCGCCUCGAGGCGAGGGCCGACCUGCCUAACUCUUCCUUGUCAGAGAGGCGCGUGCGUGCUCAUGGAGCAUAUGUGCGAGUGUGUGAUUGUAUGAUGACACG
Molecule: unclassified non-coding RNA, 957 nt
Filed under: Leishmania donovani
Lineage: Eukaryota; Euglenozoa; Kinetoplastea; Trypanosomatida; Trypanosomatidae
Description: gene:LdHU3.27.2870(CDS-product:small_nuclear_ribo nucleoprotein_protein_putative)
Source: RNAcentral